AGAGUUUGAUCCUGGCUCAGAUUGAACGCUGGCGGCGUGCUUAACACAUGCAAGUCGUGCGAGAAAGGGGACUUCGGUCCCUGAGUAGAGCGGCGCACGGGUGAGUAACGCGUGGAUAAUCUACCCAGAUGUUCGGGAUAACGGUGGGAAACUGCCGCUAAUACCGGAUACGAUCCAAUUUCGGUUGGAUGAAAGGCGGCCUCUGCUUGCAAGCUGUCGCAUCUGGAUGAGUCCGCGUCCCAUUAGCUUGUUGGUGGGGUAAUGGCCUACCAAGGCUACGAUGGGUAACUGGUCUGAGAGGAUGAUCAGUCACACUGGAACUGAAACACGGUCCAGACUCCUACGGGAGGCAGCAGUGGGGAAUAUUGCGCAAUGGGGGAAACCCUGACGCAGCGACGCCGUGUGAGGGAAGAAGGCUUUCGGGUC
RNAcentral lists this ribosomal RNA (426 nucleotides) under uncultured bacterium. Its description in RNAcentral is "bacterial SSU rRNA". It matches the Rfam family "Bacterial small subunit ribosomal RNA", at positions 8 to 424 of the family's 1533-position model. The record is from RNAcentral.